RNA transcript from Mandrillus leucophaeus (drill), 3347 nucleotides. It is a transcript of the gene named peptidyl-prolyl cis-trans isomerase A-like, with no coding region annotated. NCBI's taxonomy places the organism in Eukaryota, Metazoa, Chordata, Mammalia, Primates, Cercopithecidae. The transcript is spliced from 2 exons. The record is from RefSeq and is a predicted model, not a curated record.
AUGGUCAACCCCACGUUUUUCAACAUUGCCGUCAAUGGCAAGCCCUUGGGCUGUGUCUCCUUCGAGCUGUUUGCAGUUCCAAAGACAGCAGAAAACCUCCGUGCUCUGAGCCCUGGAAAGAAGGGAUUUGGUUAUAAGGGUUCCUGCUUUCACAGAAUUAUUCCAGGGUUUGUGUGUCAGAGUGGUGACUUCACACGCCAUACAGCAUUGGUGGCAAGUCCAUCUGCAGGGAGAAAUUUGAUGACAAGAACUUCAUCCUGAAGCAUACAGGUCCUGGCAUCUUGUCCAUGGCAAAUGCUGAACCCAGCAUGAACGUUUCCCAGUUUAUCUGCACUGCCAAGACGGCCAAGGCUGAGUGGUUGGAUGGCAAACGUGUGGUCUUUGGCAAGGUGAAAGAUGGCAUGAAUACUGAAGGUCAUGGCGCACUUUGGGUCCAGGAAUGGCAAGAGCAGCAAUUUGCAUGAAGAUCAUCAUUGCUAACUGUGGAUAACUGUAAUAAAUUUGACUGGUGUUUCUUUAAAAAAAAAAAAAAAAUACCGUGCCAGACCAAGGUAAAUUGUUUUUGAUCAUUACAGAAAUGUGAUUUCUUAAUCAGCAGCUGUCAUAGUGUUCCUUAAUUUAAAAGCUUGAACACUAAAUUAUAAAUUGGAGAGGUUGGAAUAAUUAUGGUCAUAUAUCUAGAAACACAAAUCUUUAGUAGCAAAAAAGAAAUUAGCAAGAGAAGAAAACUAUUCGGUACUUUGAAUGGAGAAAGUUUUCAUUGAUAGAAGUUUAGAUGAAAAUUAACAUGAGAAAGAAGUGACAGGCCAAGUGUGGUGGUUCACGCUUUUAACACCAACAAUUUGGGAGGCCAAGAUGGGAGGAUCUCUUGAGCCCAGGAAUUCAAGACUAGCCUGGGCAACAAGGCAAAACUCAUCUCUACUGAAAAUUUUAAAAAUCAGCUGGGCAUGGUGGCACCCGUCUGUAGUUCCAGCUACUUGGGAAGCUGAGGUGGGAGGAUCACUUGAGCCCAGGAGGUUGAGGCUGCAGUGAGCCGUCAUCACACCACUGUAUUCCAGCCUGGGCAAGAGUGAAAUCCUGUUAAAGGGGGGAAAAAAAAAAACCAGGAAGGGACAAAUAUGAGAGUUUUUGCUAAAGCUUUUAAGUUAAGAUGCAGAGAAUUGGGGGAAUGUAUAAUAAAUCAGAUUUCAUUUAGUUAUAUUAUUUACCACAUGAAUCACUUUCCUCCAAACAGUUGUCGUAAGAGCCAUGUGUUCACGUGUAAUGAAGACCGGUAUUUAACUGUGGGAACCGUGGGUGGCAUGGUGAAGGAGACUGUCCGUGACUGUGCCGCUCUCCACAGCCCCGUCUGCUGUCCUGUUUCCUCGGCUCCUCGGUGUCUGGACUGGCGUUCUGGGUGUCCCAGCGGAAAACUAAAGGGCCACAGAGGUGUAAACACACACACCACUUGGCAGGUAAUUUCCCCAUGUGCUAUCUUUUUAGGGAUCCUGAACACACAGCCUUUCCCAAAAGACUGCUCCCUCCAGCUACUGAGGAAUGAUGACAAGAAAAGGCCGAAUUGCAGUGUCUCCAUCAGCAGUUUGCUCUCUCUGGGCACACGAUGACAAAAUUUCCUGAAGCGAACCACUAGUCUGACCUCAGUAGCAGGACUGGAAGCUUCAUGCCAUGGGAGUGGUCAAGAAAGGCAUCCCAAAGAGAACUGAACUAUUAAAAAAAAAAAAAUAGACCUUUAGGAAUAGGUGAUCGUCCCCAUAUACUGGGGAUGAAAUACCCAGUGUAACCAAAUUCCCCAGUAAGAUCGCUUAGUUUGGCAAUAGUCUCUUCUUUUGAGCACGCUGAAGUUUAUUUGCUCAAUGAAGGCUGAAAUUAUAAGUCAGUAUAUAUGUAUUACUAAGUAGAACUUGAGGUAAUUAUAUGUUUUAGUCAAAAGCAGUUUCUGUGGGCUUGGUAUAAACCCUACUUUGUGAUUUGCUAAAGCACAGGAUGUUGACUCAAACCAAAACUAGUUUUGUAGUUAAUAUAUGUUGUGUUUCUGUGACUUAAUAGUCAACUAGAAAAGCCACCUACGACAUUCCCAGCUAAUUAAGUUUUAAAAGUUUUUUUUAAAAUACUUGUCACCAUAUUUUCAAAAAUACUAACAUUUGGAUUACUAGUUAUAAAAGUGAAAUUUCUACUGUGUCAUAAUCAGCCACGCAGCUGGAGACUUGCCCUCUUUGUACAGUAAAGUUGUGAAAAAAGUAUUUGCACUACAUUCAUUUAAACAUUAGGGAAAAAAAACCAACCCAUGCUUUUCUUUGCUGAGUUGUAGGGUUGUAUUAUUGGCUAGUGAGAAGCCUGGAACACCAGGACUUUGUGUGGGUGACUGCAGGUAUCAGAUCCAGGAUUAUACAGGUACUCUUGGAAGUGUCUUGGGGAUUUUCCUGGUAAGAACAACAGUGAUUGCAAAAAAAAAAAGACAAGAUGUAAAGUGAAAUCAGUAAAACAUCUUAGUAGACAGAGGGUGCUGACAUUUUAACAAAUGUGUAAAAAGUUCUUCCUAUACAUUAAUUUUCCAGAUACCCUUAAAAUGUUUAAGGAAUAUCAUUCAAAAUACUGUUUGAGAGACAUGUGACCAUCAUUCUCCAAGGGAAUGUGGAUCAUUUAGUGUGCUACUUAAAAUUAGGUGUAAAUGUAUAUGUACACUAUAAGAAUAAAAAUCGGUACCAUUUCUUUAAAGCUUUCUAAAAGAAAGUUAAUUAUUUCUAAUAGUUACAUUUUAGGAUCUCAAACUAUUUUUCUUUUGACAUAACUGCUUUCUACCCUAAAGUGUUACUUAUUGCUGUCUUCUUUUUAACAGGUGAAGAUAUUAAAGCUAGAAAUUGGAACUAGAAAAUCUAAAGAAUUCAAGGCAUCUUAACGUGACAGUUGAAUUGAACUCAUUUGAUUACAAGGUUUAUUGCAGUUAUUGAGUCUUUCUUUGAGUGCAGUGGUGCCGUUGAUGCUUACUGCAGCCUCAAUCUCCCAGGCUCAAGAAACCUUCCCACCUCAGCUUCCAGAGUAGCUGGGACCACAGGUGCAUGCCACGCCUUGUUAUUUUAUUUUUUAUUUUUUCAACAUAAACGAGGUCUUGCUAUGUCAUCCAGUCUGGUCUUGAACUCCAGUGAUCCUCCCACCUUAGCCUCCCAAAGUGCUGGAAUUACAGGCGUGAGCCACCAAACCUAGCCACCAAUUUUACUUUAGGUAAACUUUUAUUUUCAAGCAGCUUUUGUUGGUGUUGCAAGUACAAAUCAUGACUGUUUUAUAAAAUGUUCUAUAAAUAUAACCACUAUUCUUUGUAAGCCAUUUAAAAUUUUAGUCUUUCAAGUAAA